RNAcentral lists this ribosomal RNA (497 nucleotides) under uncultured bacterium. Its description in RNAcentral is "partial 16S ribosomal RNA". It matches the Rfam family "Bacterial small subunit ribosomal RNA", at positions 28 to 507 of the family's 1533-position model. The record is from RNAcentral.
GAUGAACGCUGGCGGCGUGCCUAAUACAUGCAAGUCGAGCGAACGGACGAGAAGCUUGCUUCUCUGAUGUUAGCGGCGGACGGGUGAGUAACACGUGGAUAACCUACCUAUAAGACUGGGAUAACUUCGGGAAACCGGAGCUAAUACCGGAUAAUAUUUUGAACCGCAUGGUUCAAAAGUGAAAGACGGUCUUGCUGUCACUUAUAGAUGGAUCCGCGCUGCAUUAGCUAGUUGGUAAGGUAACGGCUUACCAAGGCAACGAUGCAUAGCUGACCUGAGAGGGUGAUCGGCCACACUGGAACUGAGACACGGUCCAGACUCCUACGGGAGGCAGCAGUAGGGAAUCUUCCGCAAUGGGCGAAAGCCUGACGGAGCAACGCCGCGUGAGUGAUGAAGGUCUUCGGAUCGUAAAACUGUGUUAUUAGGGAAGAACAUAUGUGUAAGUAACUGUGCACAUCUUGACGGUACCUAAUCAGAAAGCCACGGCUAACUACGUG